GUAGUUCAGUGGUAGAAUACAACCUUGCCAAGGUUGGGGUCGCGGGUUCGAAUCCCGUCUUCCGCUCCA
RNAcentral lists this transfer RNA (69 nucleotides) under Bacillus thuringiensis. RNAcentral describes it as "tRNA-Gly". It matches the Rfam family "tRNA". Rfam says of the family: Transfer RNA (tRNA) molecules are approximately 80 nucleotides in length. Their secondary structure includes four short double-helical elements and three loops (D, anti-codon, and T loops). Further hydrogen bonds mediate the characteristic L-shaped molecular structure. tRNAs have two regions of fundamental functional importance: the anti-codon, which is responsible for specific mRNA codon recognition, and the 3' end, to which the tRNAs corresponding amino acid is attached (by aminoacyl-tRNA synthetases). tRNAs cope with the degeneracy of the genetic code in two manners: having more than one tRNA (with a specific anti-codon) for a particular amino acid; and 'wobble' base-pairing, i.e. permitting non-standard base-pairing at the 3rd anti-codon position. The record is from RNAcentral. Lineage: Bacteria; Bacillati; Bacillota; Bacilli; Caryophanales; Bacillaceae.